RNAcentral lists this ribosomal RNA (253 nucleotides) under uncultured bacterium. RNAcentral's name for it is "partial 16S ribosomal RNA". It matches the Rfam family "Bacterial small subunit ribosomal RNA", at positions 524 to 776 of the family's 1533-position model. The record is from RNAcentral.
UACGAAGGGGGCUAGCGUUGCUCGGAAUCACUGGGCGUAAAGCGCACGUAGGCGGCUUUCUAAGUCAGAGGUGAAAUCCCGGAGCUCAACUCCGGAACUGCCUUUGAUACUGGAGAGCUUGAGUUCGGGAGAGGUGAGUGGAACUGCGAGUGUAGAGGUGAAAUUCGUAGAUAUUCGCAAGAACACCAGUGGCGAAGGCGGCUCACUGGCCCGAUACUGACGCUGAGGUGCGAAAGCGUGGGGAGCAAACAGG